GGCAGCUAGGCCGAAACGCCUGUAUUUAAAGGGAUAGUAACUCGGACUCGUUCUGCAAUAUCCCCACAAGGGCCUGACUGAGCGAGCGAGCAUGGACGGCCGCGGGGCUUUCUGGACAGUGGCCAUUCCCAGAGCCAGGCAGGAAGGCCUCGGGAGGCUGGGGCUCCCGUUCCCGGUGAAGCGGACGCCGCCAGCGCCCCAGAACCCAGGAGGAAGCACACAGGCCCCACAGAGAGUGGUUGGCAAGAGUCACUCGGGGAUUAGGAUGCCGGCCAAAUCGCGGAAUUUGAGGCUGGAAUCCAAGCUCAACAGGACUGCUGUGUGUGAAGCACUCAAGAGGGCCCCUACAACCAACCUGCCAGGAGUCGGCUCCUGAAAACAGGGUCGGAAAAGGGGUCUGGCACUCUUCCUCAUGCUUACGAGAUGGCUGCUGGAAUUCCAGGAAUCACAUGCAAAUUCUAGUCAGGAGCAAAGAGGAAGAGACACAGUGAAAAGGGGUAUACAGCGGCAGAAGGAAGCUCCUCAAAUGAACUCUGCUAGAACUCUAGCCAGUAGCUUCUCCUUCUAUCACAGUGGCCAGAACUGUGACAAGUGACCAUCCUUAGGGGAAAAAAGAUGCUGAGAAAUGUGAAUUUUGUUGCCACCUUACAUUUUCAAAGGAGUUCCAUUCGUAAGUACAGAACGCUCAGAGAAGAGGCAGCAGAUCUAGGAUAUGGAGCAGCAGCUCUUAAGGGCACAGUGGGAAGGUUUCAAGACUGAGGAGGAUCUUGGAUUUGGGUAGGGGAAGGCAGUUCACAGUAUUGUGGAGGAAAUGCUGUGAAAGAGAAAGUGGAAGGCAUGGAAGCUUAAACUUUUAAUAUGACUGGUGAAUACAAGGAUGAAGGGCAAAGGGAAUUCAGACUCAUGGUGGUCAGAUUAAGACCUUCAGCGGCUCUGUCUCCCAGCCCCACAUACCCACUUCCAUGUUCUGCUCUUUACUGAAGCUGAAAGUCUGCAACCUUCAUUCUCUGACUCCCUUACAUUUUCUUAGGCUUCUUGCUAGCUUCUGCCAAAAAGAGGCCCUGGCAGGAGAUUAGAUGGCAGGAGGCAGAGGUAAGGAUUCCAUGUUAACAGGUGCUGGAAGUUGCUGGUGUGGCAAUGAGAACUGGGCCCCGGUCAAGGCAGCACUACUUUGGUAGAUCCAGAAUCAACCAUGAUAACCGUGACAGUGUCUUCAACAGUGCAGCAGUAGACACAGGCCCCUGGUGCUGGAAUCCAAUACAGGGACAGGAGCAGCACGGAGUCACGGAACACCGUCUUGCCUUCAUGUCACUUUACCAUUUCUUCUUUCUCCCUCUUACUCUACCAGCUACCUGUGGAGAUGUUGAACCUUUUAUCUGUCGCUGUCUGCUUAGGAACAGAAGAAAAGGCAGCUGAUUGCUUGACUCAGCUUUCAGCUUGAUUUUUUUCCUUUGGCAGAGUGAAUUGGGGUCCCAGGUGUUCAUUUUCCUUUUGUAGUACCUUUCCUCAGCAUGCAAUUAAUACAAAAAGAACAAUAAACCUUAACAAAGUUUGGCUUGUAUUA
Molecule: long non-coding RNA, 1564 nt
Filed under: Homo sapiens (human)
Lineage: Eukaryota; Metazoa; Chordata; Mammalia; Primates; Hominidae
Description: non-protein coding SPATA41:2
Source: RNAcentral